Molecule: long non-coding RNA, 537 nt
Organism: Bos taurus (domestic cattle)
Lineage: Eukaryota; Metazoa; Chordata; Mammalia; Artiodactyla; Bovidae
Source: Ensembl
GCUCUCUGGUAUGAAGAGAAUUAGGGUUGGGGCACUGCUGAUAGGACGAAGAGAGGAGGAAAAUGGAAGGAAUGGACGCAGAGAGAACUAAUGAGGAAAAAGUCGCUUCAGUCGUGUCCGACUCUGUGCAACCCCAUAGACGGCAGCCCACCAGGCUUCCCUAUCCCUGGGAUUCUCCAGGCAGGAACACUGGAGUGGGUUGCCAUUUCCUUCUCCAAUGCACGAAAGUGAAAAGUGAAAGUGAAGUCGCUCAGUCGUGUCCGACCCUUAGCGACCCCAUGGACUGCAGCCUACCAGGCUCCUCCGUCCAUGGGAUUUUCUAGGCAAAAGUACUGGAGUGCGGUGCCAUUGCCUUCUCUGCAAAUCUUCACUAGUCUUCUGCAGACUUAGUAAGACUAAUCAGAAGAGGAGACCCCAAUUGAAAAAGCCAGUUCAUCUACUGAUCCACCUUGAAACCCACCAGCUGAUAAUCCCUGCCCCUGCAGGCAGAGUUUCCAGUCAAUUCUGGCUUCACCAACUUUUGAAUAAAGCCUCAAC